Molecule: ribosomal RNA, 777 nt
Filed under: uncultured Neocallimastigales
Lineage: Eukaryota; Fungi; Neocallimastigomycota; Neocallimastigomycetes; Neocallimastigales
Description: partial large subunit ribosomal RNA
Rfam family: Eukaryotic large subunit ribosomal RNA
Source: RNAcentral
GUAGUCUCGCACAGAUGCAUAUCAAUAAGCGGAGGAAAAGAAACUAACAAGGAUUCCCCUAGUAACGGCGGGUGAAGCGGGAAGAGCUCAAAUUUGAAAUCUUAAAGGGUUUCCCUUUACGAAUUGUAGUUUAAAGAAGUGUUUUCUGUUGAGGUUUUGGGGUAAAAGUUCUUUGGAAUAGGACAUCAUAGAGGGUGAGAAUCCCGUAUUUGACCUUUACUUUCAACUUUGUGAUACACUUUCAAAGAGUCGGAUUGUUUGGGAAUGCAGUCCAAAAUGGGUGGUAAAUUUCAUCUAAAGCUAAAUAUUGGCGAGAGACCGAUAGCGAACAAGUACCGUCAGGGAAAGAUGAAAAGAACUUUGAAAAGAGAGUUAAACAGUACGUGAAAUUGUCAAAAGGGAAGCGUUUGACACCAGUGUUGUUUUUCUGAAAAUCAAUUAAAGAACUGUUUAUGCUAAGUUGUUUAGACUUUAUCAGCUAUCUGUUUAGUUUUGAGCUUUUCUUUAAAUGCACUUUUCAGUUAACAAGUCAACAUCAAUUUCUUUUGCUGUAAAAAAGCUUGAGGAAGGUGGCUUGAGAUUCGUCUUAAGUGUUUAUAGCCUCUUGCCUAUGCAGUCGGAGAGAUUGAGGUCUGCAGCGUAGAUCCUUCGGGGCUAAAUGCAUUUGUGCUAAGUUAUAGCAUUUCAUAGACAACUUGUUGACUAUGAUUUGUCUUGUAGCUUACUCGCUUAUGUUAUUUUACCUACGCUUAGGAUGUUGACAGCAGUAUAGACUGU